AUUGAACGCUGGCGGCAGGCCUAACACAUGCAAGUCGAACGGUAACAGGAAGAAGCUUGCUUCUUUGCUGACGAGUGGCGGACGGGUGAGUAAUGUCUGGGAAACUGCCUGAUGGAGGGGGAUAACUACUGGAAACGGUAGCUAAUACCGCAUAACGUCGCAAGACCAAAGAGGGGGACCUUCGGGCCUCUUGCCAUCGGAUGUGCCCAGAUGGGAUUAGCUAGUAGGUGGGGUAACGGCUCACCUAGGCGACGAUCCCUAGCUGGUCUGAGAGGAUGACCAGCCACACUGGAACUGAGACACGGUCCAGACUCCUACGGGAGGCAGCAGUGGGGAAUAUUGCACAAUGGGCGCAAGCCUGAUGCAGCGAUGCCGCGUGUAUGAAGAAGGCCUUCGGGUUGUAAAGUACUUUCAGCGGGGAGGAAGGGAGUAAAGUUAAUACCUUUGCUCAUUGACGUUACCCGCAGAAGAAGCACCGGCUAACUCCGUG
This 490-nucleotide ribosomal RNA is filed under the name uncultured bacterium. RNAcentral describes it as "partial 16S ribosomal RNA". It matches the Rfam family "Bacterial small subunit ribosomal RNA", at positions 30 to 507 of the family's 1533-position model. The record is from RNAcentral.